RNAcentral lists this ribosomal RNA (277 nucleotides) under uncultured Fusarium. RNAcentral's name for it is "partial large subunit ribosomal RNA". It matches the Rfam family "Eukaryotic large subunit ribosomal RNA", at positions 40 to 322 of the family's 3401-position model. Lineage: Eukaryota; Fungi; Ascomycota; Sordariomycetes; Hypocreales; Nectriaceae. The record is from RNAcentral.
AUAUCAAUAAGCGGAGGAAAAGAAACUAACAAGGAUUGCCUUAGUAACGGCGAGUGAAGCGGCAACAGCUCAAAUUUGAAAUCUGGCCCUCGGGUCCGAAUUGUAAUUUGUAGAGGAUGAUUUUGGUGCGGUAUCUUCCGAGUUCCUUGGAACAGGACGCCUUAGAGGGUGGGAGCCCCGUGCGGUUGAAUGCCUAGCCUCUGUAAAUCUCCUUCGACGAGUCGAGUAGUUUGGGAAUGCUGCUCUAAAUGGGAGGUAAAUUCUUCUAAGCUAAAAU